This 292-nucleotide ribosomal RNA is filed under the name uncultured bacterium. RNAcentral describes it as "partial 16S ribosomal RNA". It matches the Rfam family "Bacterial small subunit ribosomal RNA", at positions 505 to 796 of the family's 1533-position model. The record is from RNAcentral.
GUGCCAGCAGCCGCGGUAAGACGGAGGGUGCUAGCGUUGUUCGGAAUUACUGGGCGUAAAGGGCGCGUAGGCGGCUGCUCAAGUCGGGUGUGAAAGCCCGGGGCUCAACCCCGGAACGGCACCCGAGACUGGGCGGCUCGAGACCGGGAGAGGUGGGUGGAAUACCCAGUGUAGAGGUGAAAUUCGUAGAUAUUGGGUGGAACACCGGUGGCGAAAGCGGCUCACUGGCCCGGUUCUGACGCUGAGGCGCGAAAGCGUGGGGAGCAAACAGGAUUAGAAACCCUAGUAGUCC